UUCGCAAUGCCCGAAAGGGUGACGAAGCGACGCCGCGUGAGCGAAGAAGGCCCUAGGGUUGUAAAGCUCUGUCGAGGGUUAUGAAAUAUAGAUGGGUUAAUACCCCAUUUAUUUGACAAAAGCCCAAAAGGAAGCCACGGCUAACUCUGUGCCAGCAGCCGCGGUAAUACAGAGGUGGCGAGCGUUGUUCGGUAUUAUUGGGCGUAAAGAGCACGUAGGUGGUUUUGUAAGUCAGGUGUGAAAGCCUUCUGUUCAAAGGAAGAACGGCGUCUGAAACUGCAGAUCUUGAGUGUAGGAGGGGAGAGUGGAACUUCUGGUGGAGCGGUGAAAUGCGUAGAUAUCAGAAGGAACGUCGGCGGCGAAAGCGACUCUCUGGCCUAUUACUGACACUGAGUGUGCGAAAGUUAGGGGAGCAAACGGGAUUAGAUACCCCGGUAGUCCUAACCGUAAACGAUGGGCACUAAGUAGAGGGGUUUU
This 477-nucleotide ribosomal RNA is filed under the name uncultured anaerobic ammonium-oxidizing bacterium. Its description in RNAcentral is "bacterial SSU rRNA". It matches the Rfam family "Bacterial small subunit ribosomal RNA", at positions 365 to 832 of the family's 1533-position model. The record is from RNAcentral.